RNAcentral lists this non-coding RNA (27 nucleotides) under Mus musculus (house mouse). Lineage: Eukaryota; Metazoa; Chordata; Mammalia; Rodentia; Muridae. The record is from RNAcentral.
GGAGUGGCAUUGAGCAAGCCAAGCAGC